This 141-nucleotide ribosomal RNA is filed under the name Listeria monocytogenes. Its description in RNAcentral is "partial 16S ribosomal RNA". It matches the Rfam family "Bacterial small subunit ribosomal RNA", at positions 1 to 136 of the family's 1533-position model. Lineage: Bacteria; Bacillati; Bacillota; Bacilli; Caryophanales; Listeriaceae. The record is from RNAcentral.
UUUAAAGAGAGUUUGAUCCUGGCUCAGGACGAACGCUGGCGGCGUGCCUAAUACAUGCAAGUCGAACGAACGGAGGAAGAGCUUGCUCUUCCAAUGUUAGUGGCGGACGGGUGAGUAACACGUGGGCAACCUGCCUGUAAG